Molecule: RNase P RNA, 381 nt
Filed under: Thermoleophilia bacterium
Lineage: Bacteria; Bacillati; Actinomycetota; Thermoleophilia
Description: RNase P RNA component class A
Rfam family: Bacterial RNase P class A
About the family: Ribonuclease P (RNase P) is a ubiquitous endoribonuclease, found in archaea, bacteria and eukarya as well as chloroplasts and mitochondria. Its best characterised activity is the generation of mature 5'-ends of tRNAs by cleaving the 5'-leader elements of precursor-tRNAs.
Source: RNAcentral
GCUGCAGCCCGGGUAGUCGCGGGGGGCGGCGCGUCCUUCGGGGCGGGCCGACUCUCCGAGGAAAGUCCGGACACCGCAGAGCGGGGUGCUGGAUAACGUCCAGCAGGGGAAACCCUCGGGAAAGUGCCACAGAAAUGACACAGCACACCGGUGGCGGUCCGCCGCCUCCGGCUGCAACGGUGAAAUGGCGCGGUAAGAGCGCACCGGCGUCGUGGUGACACGGCGGCCAGGCAAACCCCACCCGGUGCAAGGCCGAAUAGAGAGGCGCUCGAGGGCUGCUCGUCCGAAGCCUCCGGGUUGGCCGCACGAGACGCUGGGUAACCUGCGUCCUAGAUGGAUGGCUACCCUCGACAGAAUCCGGCUUACAGGGCUGCUGACGUG